CCAACCAGAGUGGCCACAGACAGCUAGCUGCUUCCCAUCCCACCCCUCCCCUGCCCGCCCCCCACCAUCUGAGGGAUGUCAGGCCAAGCCCUGGAGGAGUGUGACCUUGGCCUGGGGCCAUCAGCACGUGCCUUUCCUCUGCUUGGAACAUUCUUCCUAAGACUCCUCCCUCUGCCAUUAGUCUGGUUCUCUGUUCACAUCCUCCAGAAUCUUCCUGGACCCCACAGACAAGGUGGGGCCGCAGAGUCGGUGCUUUACACCUGCUCCGUACCCACAGAAUUCCAAUCCUGGCCCACCCUUCCCUGCCGGCUGACUUUGGGUGCUGGGAACAUAGCAGCCCGGACAGUGGAUGGAAACCCAUGCCCUCAUAGAGCUCGCGUCCCAGAAAGGGCAGCAAACAAUAAGCUGGUAAGACUUAAUUUAGCAUGUGGGGAUGGUGCCGAGGAGACCACCGAAGAGAGGGAGAAGGGGCAGCUUUAAAUGCAGGUCCUGAAACGAAAGGGGCCCGUGUGAGCUGCCCCAACACGGCUGCUCUCACCUCAAGCGAUCCUGCCCCCCCAGGGGACACUGGGCCAUGUCUGGGGACAUCUCUGCUUGUCACAACUAGGGGUGAGGCUGACAUCGAGUGCGUGGGCCCAGGGAUGCUGCUCAAACCCCACAGCGCCCAGGACACCCCCCCAGAGAACAGCCUGGGCCCAGUGUCAGCAGUGCCGAUGGGGAGAGACUCUGCUCCAACAUUAUUCUGACCAAUUAGUUCCCCUAGAAUCCUGCCAGGGCGGGGACUCCAUCCGGCCACCUGCACCCUUGGAGGUGAUGCAGCGAGAGGCAGCCAGGCCGGGCUGAGACAGGCCCUGGGGAUGAAACGACAGGCGUGUGCGCCCAUCCACAUGGCACUCAGAGCUGGAGAGGUAGUGCCGGCCCCCCACACACUACAGCCUCUGUCACCCGCCUGGGGCUGCUAGCUCUUUGCAGAGUCACCUCUUCUGGCCACAGAAGUUCCCCGGAGUCGACGCUGAGAUCAAGGACUCGAGUGCAUGUUGAUGAUUUGAGAGGCGCAGAGAAGAGCCUGGCAUGGGGGAAGGUGGGAGACGGAGAGACAGGCGUGCUCUGCCACCAGUGGCCGCAGUGGGACCCCCACCCGUGCACAGGCGCUGGGGAUAUGCAACCGCAGAGCUCAGCUUGAGCCCACCAGGGAUCAGAAGGGCUGGGUGCCCGGAGAGGUGAGUGUGCUUCGUGCCCUGACGUGCACUUAGACAUGGCUAAGACGGUAACUACACUUACGUUGGUGAGAUUUCAUAAUGUAUAUAAUUUUCAAAUCACCUGUACACCUGAAACUAACACUAUAGCAUGUUAACUAUGCUUCAAUAAAAAAAUAACAUUUACCAUCUGAA
This is a long non-coding RNA of Nyctereutes procyonoides (raccoon dog), 1391 nucleotides long. RefSeq lists it as uncharacterized. NCBI's taxonomy places the organism in Eukaryota, Metazoa, Chordata, Mammalia, Carnivora, Canidae. The transcript is spliced from 2 exons. The record is from RefSeq and is a predicted model, not a curated record.